Molecule: ribosomal RNA, 530 nt
Filed under: uncultured bacterium
Lineage: Bacteria
Description: bacterial SSU rRNA
Rfam family: Bacterial small subunit ribosomal RNA
Source: RNAcentral
UGGGGAAUAUUGCACAAUGGGCGGAAGCCUGAUGCAGCGACGCCGCGUGGGGGAUGAAGGCCUUCGGGUUGUAAACUUCUUUCGACAGGGACGAAGCUUUUGUGUCGGUACCUGUAUAAGAAGCACCGGCUAACUACGUGCCAGCAGCCGCGGUAAUACGUAGGGUGCGAGCGUUGUCCGGAAUUACUGGGCGUAAAGAGCUCGUAGGUGGUUUGUCGCGUCGUCUGUGAAAUUCCGGGGCUUAACUCCGGGCGUGCAGGCGAUACGGGCUGACUUGAGUGCUGUAGGGGAGACUGGAAUUCCUGGUGUAGCGGUGAAAUGCGCAGAUAUCAGGAGGAACACCGAUGGCGGAGGCAGGUCUCUGGGCAGUAACUGACGCUGAGGAGCGAAAGCAUGGGUAGCGAACAGGAUUAGAUACCCUGGUAGUCCAUGCCGUAAACGGUGGGCGCUAGGUGUAGGGGGCUUCCACGUCUUCUGUGCCGUAGCUAACGCGUUAAGCGCCCCGCCUGGGGAGUACGGCCGCAAGGCUA